Molecule: ribosomal RNA, 988 nt
Filed under: Listeria monocytogenes
Lineage: Bacteria; Bacillati; Bacillota; Bacilli; Caryophanales; Listeriaceae
Description: bacterial LSU rRNA
Rfam family: Bacterial large subunit ribosomal RNA
Source: RNAcentral
UUCUAAGGGCGGUGAAGUCAGACCGGAAGGACUGGUGGAGCGCUUAGAAGUGAGAAUGCCGGUAUGAGUAGCGAAAGAAGGGUGAGAAUCCCUUCCACCGAAUAUCUAAGGUUUCCUGAGGAAGGCUCGUCCGCUCAGGGUUAGUCGGGACCUAAGCCGAGGCCGAUAGGCGUAGGCGAUGGACAACAGGUAGAGAUUCCUGUACCAGUGCUAAUUGUUUAACCGAUGGGGUGACACAGAAGGAUAGGGAAUCGCACGAAUGGAAAUGUGCGUCCAAGCAGUGAGUGUGAGAAGUAGGCAAAUCCGCUUCUCGCGAAGCAUGAGCUGUGAUGGGGAAGGAAAUUAAGUACGGAAGUUCCUGAUUUCACGCUGUCAAGAAAAGCCUCUAGGAAGAGUAGUACUGCCCGUACCGCAAACCGACACAGGUAGAUGAGGAGAGAAUCCUAAGGUGAGCGAGAGAACUCUCGUUAAGGAACUCGGCAAAAUGACCCCGUAACUUCGGGAGAAGGGGUGCUCUAUUAGGGUGCAAGCCCGAGAGAGCCGCAGUGAAUAGGCCCAGGCGACUGUUUAGCAAAAACACAGGUCUCUGCAAAACCGUAAGGUGACGUAUAGGGGCUGACGCCUGCCCGGUGCUGGAAGGUUAAGAGGAGUGCUUAGCUUCGGCGAAGGUACGAAUUGAAGCCCCAGUAAACGGCGGCCGUAACUAUAACGGUCCUAAGGUAGCGAAAUUCCUUGUCGGGUAAGUUCCGACCCGCACGAAAGGCGCAACGAUCUGGGCACUGUCUCAACGAGAGACUCGGUGAAAUUAUAGUACCUGUGAAGAUGCAGGUUACCCGCGACAGGACGGAAAGACCCCGUGGAGCUUUACUGCAACCUGAUAUGGAAUGUUUGUACCGCUUGUACAGGAUAGGUAGGAGCCGAAGAGACGUGUGCGCUAGCAUACGAGGAGGCAAUGGUGGGAUACUACCCUGGCUGUAUGACCAUUCUA